GUUUCUGCGCCGAAGAUGUAACGGGGCUAAAAUCAUGUACCGAAUCUGUGGCUUUACAAAGUUUUCGAACUUUGUAAGGGGUAGCGGAACGUUCUGUAAGCCUGCGAAGGGAUACCCGUGAGGGAUCCUGGAGGUAUCAGAAGUGCGAAUGCUGACAUAAGUAACGAUAAACGAAGUGAAAAACUUCGUCGCCGAAAAUCUAAGGGUUUCUAUGCAAGGUUAAUCCGCGUAGAGUUAGUCGGCACCUAAGGCGAGGGCGAAAGCCGUAGUCGAUGGAAACAAGGUUAAUAUUCCUUGACCUGAUGGUAGUGACGGAUUUCGUAAGUUGUGAGUUCUUAAUGGAUUGAACUUGCCGCGAAGAGGUCCCAAGAAAUAGCUCCAUCAUGAAGACCGUACCCGAAACCGACACAGGUAGAUUAAUAGAGUAUAUUUAGGCGCUUGAGAGAAUGAUGUUGAAGGAACUCGGCAAAAUGCUUCCGUAACUUCGGGAUAAGGAAGACCCUUUUGUAGGCAACUAUGGAAGGGUGGCACAAGCCAGGGAGAAGCGACUGUUUAUCAAAAACACAGGGCUCUGCUAACACGUAAGUGGAUGUAUAGGGUCUGACGCCUGCCCGGUGCUGGAAGGUUAAUGCGGUUGGUGCAAGCUAACUUCUGAAGCCCCAGUAAACGGCGGCCGUAACUAUAACGGUCCUAAGGUAGCGAAAUUCCUUGUCGGGUAAGUUCCGACCUGCAUGAAUGGCGUAACGAUUUCUCCGCUGUCUCCAACAUCAACUCAGUGAAAUUGAAUUCUCCGUGAAGAUGCGGAGUUCGCGUAGUUAGACGGAAAGACCCCGUGCACCUUUACUGCAACUUUACAUUGGUGUUAGGAAAAACAUAUUUAGCAUAGGAGGGAGACUUUGAAGCAAAGGCGUCAGCUUUUGUGGAGUCACCAGUGAAAUACCUCUUUUGUUUUUCUUGACAUCUAACCGCUAGCCGUCAUCCGGCAGCGAGACAUUGUAUGGUGGGUAGUUUGACUGGGGCGGUCGCCUCCCAAAUAGUAACGGAGGCGUGCGAAGGUAGGCUCAGAACGGUCAGAAAUCGUUCGUAGAGUGCAAUGGCAUAAGCCUGCCUGACUGUGAGACUGACAAGUCGAGCAGAGACGAAAGUCGGUCAUAGUGAUCCGGUG
Molecule: ribosomal RNA, 1165 nt
Filed under: seawater metagenome
Description: bacterial LSU rRNA
Rfam family: Bacterial large subunit ribosomal RNA
Source: RNAcentral